UCUUGCGCAAUGGCCGAAAGGCUGACGCAGCGACGCCGCGUGUGGGAGGAAGCUUUUCGGAGUGUAAACCACUGUCGGGAGGGACGAAGGUCCAGGGGAGGCAAUGCCCUUGGGAUGACGGUACCUCCAGAGGAAGCGCCGGCUAACUCCGUGCCAGCAGCCGCGGUAAUACGGAGGGCGCGAGCGUUGUUCGGAAUUAUUGGGCGUAAAGCGCACGUAGGCGGCUCGAAAAGUCUCUUGUGAAAGCCCGGGGCUCAACCCCGGGAGGCCAGGGGAUACUGUCGGGCUGGAGACAGGCAGAGGCUGGUGGAAUUCCGGGUGUAGCGGUGGAAUGCGUAGAGAUCCGGAGGAACACCGGAGGCGAAGGCGGCCAGCUGGGCCUGAUCUGACGCUGAGGUGCGAAGGCGUGGGGAGCGAACAG
RNAcentral lists this ribosomal RNA (421 nucleotides) under uncultured bacterium. RNAcentral describes it as "bacterial SSU rRNA". It matches the Rfam family "Bacterial small subunit ribosomal RNA", at positions 362 to 775 of the family's 1533-position model. The record is from RNAcentral.